UUGGCGUUAGGGUUAAAAUCACUGUCCAAAACCUUUGUAGGAACUCUUUUCCAACCUUUUGGAGUUAGUUAGACCAAAAAAAAAUGAAAAAUUAAAAAACAAUAUUUGGGGUUUUUGGGGUUCCUGAAUGUAAUACCCGGGUAUUAGAUUUUGAGGCUAGGGUAAGGUUUAAGUUUUUUGGCAUUAGGGUUAAAAUCACUGUCCAAAACCUUUGUAGGAACUCUGUUCCAACCUUUUGGAGUUGGUUACACCAACAAAAAUGUAAAAUGAAGAAAAAAAUAUUUGGGGUGUUCAGGCUUCCUGAAGGUAAUACCCGGGUAUUAGAUUUCAAGGCUAGGGUAAGGUUUAAGGUUUUUGGCGUUAGGGUUAAAAUCACUGUCCAAAACCUUUGUAGGAACUCUUUUCCAACCUUUUGGAGUUAGUUAGACCAAAAAAUAUGAAAAAAGAAAAAAAUAUUAUUGGGGGUUUUCGGGCUCCCUGAAAGUAAUACCCGUGUAUUAGGUUUUGGGACUAGGGAAAGGUUUAAGGGUUUUGGCGUUAGGGUUAAAAUCACUGUCCAAAACCUUUGUAGGAACUCUUUUCCAACCUUUUGGAGUUAGUUAGACCAAAAAAUAUGAAAAAAAGAAAAAUAUUAUUGGGGGUGUUCAGGCUUCCUAAAAGUAAUACCCGGGUAUUAGGUUAUGGGGCUAUGGUAAGGUUUAACGUUUUGGCGUUAGGUUUAAAAUCACUGUCCAAAACCUUUGUAGGAACUCUUUAACAACCUUUUGGAUUUAGUUAGACCAAAAAAAAAUGAAAAAUUAAAAAAAAUAUAUUUGGGGUGUUCAGGCUUCCUAAAAGUAAUACCCGGGUAUUAGGUUAUGGGGCCAUGGUAAGGUUUAAGGUUUUGGCGUUAGGUUUAAAAUCACUGUCAAAAACCUUUGUAGGAACUCUUUUCCAACCUUUUGGAGUAAGUUAGACCAAAAAAAGAAUGAAAAAUGAAAACAAAAAUAUUUGGGGUUUCCGGGCUUCCUGAAGGUAAUACAAGGGUAUUAUGUUAUGGGGCUAGAGUAAGGUUUAAGUUUUUUGGCGUUAGGGUUAAAAUCACUGUCCAAAAACUUUGUAGGAACUCCUUUCAAACCUUUUGGAGUUAGUUAGACCAAAGAAAAUGUAAAAUGAAGAAAAAAAUAUUUGGGGUGUUCAGGCUUCCUAGAAGUAAUACCCGGGUAUAAGAUUAUGGGGCUAUGGUAAGGUUUAAGGUUUUUGGCAUUAGGGUUAAAAUCACUGUCCAAAACCUUUGCAGGAACUCUUUUCCAACCUUUUGGAGUUGGUUACACCAACAAAAAUGUAAAAUGAAAAAAAAAUAUAUUUUGGUUGUUCGGGCUUCCUAAAAGUAAUACCCGGGUAAUAGGUUAUGGGGCUAUGGUAAGGUUUAAGGUUUUUGGCGUUAGGGUUAAAAUCACUGUCCAAAACCUUUGUAGGAACUCUUUUUCAACCUUUUGGAGUUAGUUAGACCAAAAAAUAUGAAAAAAGAAAAAAAUAUUAUUGGGGGUUUUCGGGCUCCCUGAAAGUAAUACCCGGGUAUUAGGUUUUGGGGCUAUGGUAAGGUUUAGGUUUUUUGGCGUUAGGGUUAAAAUCACUUUCCAAAACCUUUGUAGGAACUCUUUUCCAACCUUUUGGAGUUAGUUAGACCAAAAAAAAAUGAAAAAUUAAAAAACAAUAUUUGGGGUUUUCGGGGUUCCUGAAUGUAAUACCCGGGUAUUAGAUUUUAAGGCUAGGGUAAGGUUUAAGGUUUUUGGCGUUAGGGUUAAAAUCACUGUCCAAAACCUUUGUAGGAACUCUUUUCCAACCUUUUGGAGUUAGUUAGACCAAAAAAAAAAAAGAAAAAUGAAAAAAAAAUAUUUUGGGUGUUCAGGCUUCCUAAAAGUAAUACCCGGGUAUUAGGUUAUGGGGCUAUGGUAAGGUUUAAGGUUUUUGGCGUUAGGGUUGAAAUCACUGUCCAAAACCUUUGUAGGAACUCUUUUUCAACCUUUUGGAGUUAGUUAGACCAAAAAAAAAAUGAAAAAUGAAAAAAAAAAUAUUUGGGGUUUACGGGCUUCCUGAAUGUAAUACCCGGGUAUUAGAUUUUAAGGCCAGGGUAAGGUUUAAGUUUUUUGGCGUUAGGGUUAAAAUCACUGUCCAAAACCUUUGUAGGAACUCUUUUCCAACCUUUUGGAGUUAGUUAGACCAAAAAAAAAAGAAAAAUUAAAAAACAAUAUUUGGGGUUUUCGGGGUUCCUGAAUGUAAUACCCGGGUAUUAGAUUUUAAGGCUAGGGUAAGGUUUAAGGUAUUUGGCGUUAGGGUUAAAAUCACUGUCCAAAACCUUUGUAGGAACUCUUUUCCAACCUUUUGGAGUUAGUUAGACCAAAAAAUAUGAAAAAAGAAAAAAAUAUUAUUGGGGGUUUUCGGGCUCCCUGAAAGUAAUACCCGGGUAUUAGGUUUUGGGGCUAUGGUAAGGUUUAAGUUUUUUGGCGUUAGGGUUAAAAUCACUGUCCAAAACCUUUGUAGGAACUCUUUUCCAACCUUUUGGAGUUAGUUAGACCAAAAAAAAAUUAAAAAUUAAAAAACAAUAUUUGGGGUUUUCGGGGUUCCUGAAUGUAAUACCCGGGUAUUAGAUUUUAAGGCUAGGGUAAGGUUUAAGGUUUUUGGCGUUAGGGUUAAAAUCACUGUCCAAAACCUUUGUAGGAACUCUUUUCCAACCUUUUGGAGUUAGUUAGACCAAAAAAAAAAAGAAAAAUGAAAAAAAAAUAUUUGGGGUGUUCAGGCUUCCUAAAAGUAAUACCCGGGUAUUAGGUUAUGGGGCUAUGGUAAGGUUUAAGGUUUUUGGCGUUAGGGUUAAAAUCACUGUCCAAAACCUUUGUAGGAACUCUUUUCCAACCUUUUGGAGUUAGUUAGACCAAAAAAUAUGAAAAAAGAAAAAAAUAUUAUUGGGGGUUUUUGGGCUCCCUGAAAGUAAUACCCAUGUAUCAGGUUUUGGGACUAGGGAAAGGUUUAAGGGUUUUGGCAUUAGGGUUAAAAUCACUGUCCAAAACCUUUGUAGGAACUCUUUUCCAACCUUUUGGAGUUAGUUAGACCAAAAAAAAAAGAAAAAUGAAAAAAAAAUAUUUGGGGUGUUCAGGCUUCCUAAAAGUAAUACCCGGGUAUUAGGUUAUGGGGCUAUGGUAAGGUUUAACGUUUUUGCGUUAGGUUUAAAAUCACUGUCCAAAACCUUUGUAGGAACUCUUUAACAACCUUUUGGAUUUAGUUAGACCAAAAAAAAUGAAAAAUUAAAAAAAAUAUAUUUGGGGUGUUCAGGCUUCCUAAAAGUAAUGCCCGGGUAUUAGGUCAUGGGGCUAUGGUAAGGUUUAAGGUUUUUGGCGUUAGGGUUAAAAUCACUGUCCAAAACCUUUGUAGGAACUCUUUUCCAACCUUUUGGAGUUAGUUAGACCAAAAAGUAUGAAAAAAGAAAAAAAUAUUAUUGGGGGUUUUCGGGCUUCCUGAAAGUAAUACCCGGGUAUUAGGUUUUGGGGCUAUGGUAAGGUUUAAGUUUUUUGGCGUUAGGGUUAAAAUCACUGUCCAAAACCUUUGUAGGAACUCUUUUCCAACCUUUUGGAGUAAGUUAGACCAAAAAAUAUGAAAAAAGAAAAAAAUAUUAUUGGGGGUGUUCAGGCUUCCUAAAAGUAAUACCCGGGUAUUAGGUUAUGGGGCUAUGGUAAGGUUUAACGUUUUGGCGUUACGUUUAAAAUCACUGUCCAAAACCUUUGUAGGAACUCUUUUUCAACCUUUUGGAGUUAGUUAGACCAAAAAAAAAUGAAAAAUGAAAAAAUAUAUAUUUGGGGUUUACGGGCUUCUUGAAUGUAAUACCCGGGUAUUAGAUUUUAAGGCCAGGGAAAGGUUUCAGUUUUUUGGCGUUAGGGUUAAAAUCACUGUCCAAAACCUUUGUAGGAACUCUUUUCCAACCUUUUGGAGUUAGUUAGACCAAAAAAUAUGAAAAAAGAAAAAAAUAUUAUUGGGGGUUUUCGGGCUCCCUGAAAGUAAUACCCGGGUAUUAGGUUUUGGGGCUAUGGUAAGGUUUAAGUUUUUUGGCGUUAGGGUUAAAAUCACUGUCCAAAACCUUUGUAGGAACUCUUUUCCAACCUUUUGGAGUUAGUUAGACCAAAAAAUAUGAAAAAGAAAAAAAUAUUAUUGGGGGUUUUCGGGCUCCCUGAAAGUAAUACCCGGGUAUUAGGUUUUGGGGCUAUGGUAAGGUUUAAGUUUUUUGGCGUUAGGGUUAAAAUCACUGUCCAAAACCUUUGUAGGAACUCUUUUCCAACCUUUUGGAGUUAGUUAGACCAAAAAAAAAAGAAAAAUGAAAAAAAAAUAUUUGGGGUGUUCAGGCUUCCUAAAAGUAAUACCCGGGUAUUAGGUUAUGGGGCUAUGGUAAGGUUUAAGUUUUUGGCGUUAGGGUUAAAAUCACUGUCCAAAACCUUUGUAGGAACUCUUUUCCAACCUUUUGGAGUUAGUUAGACCAAAAAAAAAUGAAAAAUGAAAAAAAAUAUAUUUGGGGUGUUCAGGCUUCCUAAAAGUAAUACCCGGGUAUUAGGUUAUGGGGCUAUGGUAAGGUUUAAGGUUUUUGGCGUUAGGGUUAAAAUCACUGUCCAAAACCUUUGUAGGAACUCUUUUCCAACCUUUUGGAGUUAGUUAGACCAAAAAAAAAAUGAAAAAUGAAAAAAAAAAUAUUUGGGGUAUACGGGCUUCCUGAAUGUAAUACCCGGGUAUUAGAUUUUAAGGCCAGGGAAAGGUUUAAGUUAUUUGGCGUUAGGGUUAAAAUCACUGUCCAAAACCUUUGUAGGAACUCUUUUCCAACCUUUUGGAGUUAGUUAGACCAAAAAAUAUGAAAAAAGAAAAAAAUAUUAUUGGGGUUUUCGGGCUCCCUGAAAGUAAUACCCGGGUAUUAGGUUUUGGGGCUAUGGUAAGGUUUAAGUUUUUUGGCGUUAGGGUUAAAAUCACUGUCCAAAACCUUUGUAGGAACUCUUUUCCAACCUUUUGGAGUUAGUUAGACCAAAAAAUAUGAAAAAAGAAAAAAAUAUUAUUGGGGGUUUUCGGGCUCCCUGAAAGUAAUACCCGGGUAUUAGGUUUUGGGGCUAUGGUAAGGUUUAAGUUUUUUGGCGUUAGGGUUAAAAUCACUGUCCAAAACCUUUGUAGGAACUCUUUUCCAACCUUUUGGAGUUAGUUAGACCAAAAAAAUGAAAAAAGAAAAAAAUAUUAUUGGGGGUUUUCGGGCUCCCUGAAAGUAAUACCCGGGUAUUAGGUUUUGGGGCUAUGGUAAGGUUUAAGUUUUUUGGCGUUAGGGUUAAAAUCACUGUCCAAAACCUUUGUAGGAACUCUUUUCCAACCUUUUGGAGUUAGUUAGACCAAAAAAAAAAGAAAAAUGAAAAAAAAAUAUUUGGGGUGUUCAGGCUUCCUAAAAGUAAUACCCGGGUAUUAGGUUAUGGGGCUAUGGUAAGGUUUAACGUUUUGGCGUUAGGGUUAAAAUCACUGUCCAAAACCUUUGUAGGAACUCUUUUCCAAAGUUUUGGAGUCGGUUAGACAAAAAAUAAAUGUAAAAUGAAAAAAAUAUAUAUUUGGGGUUUUCAGGCUUCCUAAAAGUAAUACCCGGGUAUUAGGUUAUGGGGCUAUGGUAAGGUUUAAGGUUUUUGGCGUUAGGGUUAAAAUCACUGUCCAAAACCUUUGUAGGAACUCUUUUCCAACCUUUUGGAGUUAGUUAGACCAAAAAAAGAAUGAAAAAUGAAAAAAAAAUAUUUGGGGUUUCCGGGCUUCCUGAAGGUAAUACAAGGGUAUUAUGUUAUGGGGCUAGAGUAAGGUUUAAGUUUUUUGGCGUUAGGGUUAAAAUCACUGUCCAAAACCUUUGUAGGAACUCUUUUCCAACCUUUUGGAGUUAGUUAGACCAAAAAAAAUGUAAAAUGAAGAAAAAAAUAUUUGGGGUGUUCAGGCUUCCUAGAAGUAAUACCCGGGUAUAAGAUUAUGGGGCUAUGGUAAGGUUUAAGGUUUUUGGCAUUAGGGUUAAAAUCACUGUCCAAAACCUUUGUAGGAACUCUUUUCCAACCUUUUGGAGUUAGUUAGACCAAAAAAAAAAUGUAAAAUGAAAAAAAUAUAUAUUUUGGUUGUUCGGGCUUCCUAAAAGUAAUACCCGGGUAAUAGGUUAUGGGGCUAUGGUAAGGUUUAAGGUUUUUGGCGUUAGGGUUAAAAUCACUGUCCAAAACCUUUGUAGGAACUCUUUUCCAACCUUUUGGAGUUAGUUAGACCAAAAAAUAUGAAAAAAGAAAAAAAUAUUAUUGGGGGUUUUCGGGCUACCUGAAAGUAAUACCCGGGUAUUAGGUUUUGGGGCUAUGGUAAGGUUUAAGUUUUUUGGCGUUAGGGUUAAAAUCACUGUCCAAAACCUUUGUAGGAACUCUUUUCCAACCUUUUGGAGUUAGUUAGACCAAAAAAAAAUGAAAAAUUAAAAAACAAUAUUUGGGGUUUUCGGGGUUCCUGAAUGUAAUACCCGGGUAUUAGAUUUUAAGGCUAGGGUAAGGUUUAAGGUUUUUGGCGUUAGGGUUAAAAUCACUGUCCAAAACCUUUGUAGGAACUCUUUUCCAACCUUUUGGAGUUAGUUAGACCAAAAAAUAUGAAAAAAAAAAAAAAUAUUAUUGGGGGUUUUCGGGCUCCUGAAAGUAAUACCCGGGUAUUAGGUUUUGGGGCUAUGGUAAGGUUUAAGUUUUUUGGCGUUAGGGUUAAAAUCACUGUCCAAAACCUUUGUAGGAACUCUUUUCCAACCUUUUGGAGUUAGUUAGACCAAAAAAUAUGAAAAAAGAAAAAAAUAUUAUUGGGGGUUUUCGGGCUCCCUGAAAGUAAUACCCGGGUAUUAGGUUUUGGGGCUAUGGUAAGGUUUAAGUUUUUUGGCAUUAGGGUUAAAAUCACUGUCCAAAACCUUUGUAGGAACUCUUUUCCAACCUUUUGGAGUUAGUUAGACCAAAAAAAAAUUAAAAAUUAAAAAACAAUAUUUGGGGUUUUCGGGGUUCCUGAAUGUAAUACCCGGGUAUUAGAUUUUGGGGCUAGGGUAAGGUUUAAGGUUUUUGGCGUUAGGGUUAAAAUCACUGUCCAAAACCUUUGUAGGAACUCUUUUCCAACCUUUUGGAGUUAGUUAGACCAAAAAAAAAAAAGAAAAAUGAAAAAAAAAUAUUUGGGGUGUUCAGGCUUCCUGAAAGUAAUACCCGGGUAUUAGGUUAUGGGGCUAUGGUAAGGUUUAAGGUUUUUGGCGUUAGGGUUAAAAUCACUGUCCAAAACCUUUGUAGGAACUCUUUUUCAACCUUUUGGAGU
This 7332-nucleotide long non-coding RNA is filed under the name Xyrichtys novacula (pearly razorfish). Lineage: Eukaryota; Metazoa; Chordata; Actinopteri; Labriformes; Labridae. The record is from RNAcentral.